This 251-nucleotide ribosomal RNA is filed under the name uncultured bacterium. RNAcentral's name for it is "partial 16S ribosomal RNA". It matches the Rfam family "Bacterial small subunit ribosomal RNA", at positions 524 to 768 of the family's 1533-position model. The record is from RNAcentral.
UACGAAGGGGCUAGCGUUGCUCGGAAUUACUGGGUCGUAAAGGCGCGUAGGUCGGCCUUCUAAGUCAGACGUUGAAAUCCCUCGGCUCAACCGAGGAACUGCGUCUGAUACUGGAAGGCUUGAAUCCGGGAGAGGGAUUGUGGAAUUCCAGGUGUAGCGGUGAAAUGACGUAGAUAUCUGGAGAACACCGGUGGCGAAGGCGGCAUCCUGGGACCGGUAUUGAACUGCAUGAGGCGCGAAAGCUAGGGGAG